CGAUCCUUCUGGAGCAAACCCUCAAGCAGCUCCCGACCCGAGUUUGACACGUUGGGUUUGAGCACAGGAACCUUGUGCAGGAUGUUGUUGUACAUCUCAGCUGUGUUGCGACUGUAGAAGGGAGGCUGUGGCAUGGAAAGGAAGUUGUUGACUUCAACGCUGAAAGAAAGACCACAGUGAUACAUUUCAAAGGCAUUCUUGACGUUCCAAGCACACACACCCUCGUCGCUGUGGAGUGAAUGAACUGUCUGCUACACAUCGACAGGUCAAGUUUACGCCAGGUGCCGCAGCGUUAACCUGUCUGAGAAAAAGCUUAAGCGGCUGACCCGUGACAAGGCAGCUCUGGAAGGACUCCGCCACUUGCUCCUUUAGAGCAUUUCAAGGACACGGACUCCGCCCUUUGCUAUUUCCUUCUAUACCAGACCCAAAUCUGAAAGUCUACGCACUACUUUAAGCAAGUGCGAUGGUCCAAACCACCUUUUGUUUUAAUUUGAUUAUUGGUUUAUCUCGUGGAUGCCAGGGACUUUCUGGAAAGGUGAUUAAGCAGUGGGGCGGUUAUUCCAAGCACAUCACAAAAGGCCUAUUCUUACACUGGCUUCUUGGACCCAGAUUAAGCUUCGCACAGAAUGUCCUACCCAAUUCAGGUGGCAGAUUAGAUCGCCCAGUGAUCCGAAUGGGCGAGUGGUCAGAAAUAACAACAAAAGCUCUGACAUGCCAAUUGUGCCUAAUUGUGAUUUCUAUUCAAACCAUGAAAGAGUUUGUUUUAUAGUACAA
Molecule: long non-coding RNA, 774 nt
Organism: Syngnathoides biaculeatus (alligator pipefish)
Lineage: Eukaryota; Metazoa; Chordata; Actinopteri; Syngnathiformes; Syngnathidae
Exons: 3
Source: RefSeq, a predicted model, not a curated record